UACGUAGGGUGCGAGCGUUAAUCGGAAUUACUGGGCGUAAAGCGUGCGCAGGCGGUUCGUUAAGUUCGUCGUGAAAGCCCCGGGCUCAACCUGGGAACUGCGAUGGAAACUGGCGGGCUUGAGUGUGGCAGAGGGGGGUGGAAUUCCGCGUGUAGCAGUGAAAUGCGUAGAGAUGCGGAGGAACACCGAUGGCGAAGGCAGCCCCCUGGGCCAACACUGACGCUGAGGCGCGAAAGCGUGGGGAGCAAACAGG
This 253-nucleotide ribosomal RNA is filed under the name uncultured bacterium. RNAcentral's name for it is "partial 16S ribosomal RNA". It matches the Rfam family "Bacterial small subunit ribosomal RNA", at positions 524 to 776 of the family's 1533-position model. The record is from RNAcentral.